RNAcentral lists this ribosomal RNA (491 nucleotides) under uncultured bacterium. RNAcentral describes it as "partial 16S ribosomal RNA". It matches the Rfam family "Bacterial small subunit ribosomal RNA", at positions 29 to 507 of the family's 1533-position model. The record is from RNAcentral.
GUGAACGCUGGCGGUAGGCCUAACACAUGCAAGUCGAACGGCAGCACAGUAAGAGCUUGCUCUUACGGGUGGCGAGUGGCGGACGGGUGAGGAAUACAUCGGAAUCUACUUUUUCGUGGGGGAUAACGUAGGGAAACUUACGCUAAUACCGCAUACGACCUACGGGUGAAAGCAGGGGAUCUUCGGACCUUGCGCGAUUGAGUGAGCCGAUGUCGGAUUAGCUAGUUGGCGGGGUAAAGGCCCACCAAGGCGACGAUCCGUAGCUGGUCUGAGAGGAUGAUCAGCCACACUGGAACUGAGACACGGUCCAGACUCCUACGGGAGGCAGCAGUGGGGAAUAUUGGACAAUGGGCGCAAGCCUGAUCCAGCCAUACCGCGUGGGUGAAGAAGGCCUUCGGGUUGUAAAGCCCUUUUGUUGGGAAAGAAAAGCAGCAGGUUAAUACCCCGCUGUUCUGACGGUACCCAAAGAAUAAGCACCGGCUAACUUCGUG